UAAAGAGCUCGUAGGUGGUUUGUCGCGUUGUUCGUGAAAUCUCACGGCUUAACUGUGAGCGUGCGGGCGAUACGGGCAGACUUGAGUACUGCAGGGGAGACUGGAAUCCCUGGUGUAGCGGUGGAAUGCGCAGAUAUCAGGAGGAACACCGGUGGCGAAGGCGGGUCUCUGGGCAGUAACUGACGCUGAGGAGCGAAAGCGUGGGGAGCGAACAGGAUUAGAUACCCUGGUAGUCCACGCCGUAAACGGUGGGUACUAGGUGUGGGUUUCCUUCCUUGGGAUCCGUGCCGUAGCUAACGCAUUAAGUACCCCGCCUGGGGAGUACGGCCGCAAGGCUAAAACUCAAAGAAAUUGACGGGGGCCCGCACAAGCGGCGGAGCAUGUGGAUUAAUUCGAUGCAACGCGAAGAACCUUACCUGGGUUUGACAUGCACAGGACGCCGGCAGAGAUGUCGGUUCCCUUGUGGCCUGUGUGCAGGUGGUGCAUGGCUGUCGUCAGCUCGUGUCGUGAGAUGUUGGGUUAAGUCCCGCAACGAGCGCAACCCUUGUCUCAUGUUGCCAGCGGGUAAUGCCGGGGACUCGUGAGAGACUGCCGGGGUCAACUCGGAGGAAGGUGGGGAUGACAUCAAGUCAUCAUGCCCCUUAUGUCCAGGGCUUCACACAUGCUACAAUGGCCGGUACAAAGGGCUGCGAUGCCGCGAGGUUAAGCGAAUCCUUUUAAAGCCGGUCUCAGUUCGGAUCGGGGUCUGCAACUCGACCCCGUGAAGUCGGAGUCGCUAG
Molecule: ribosomal RNA, 779 nt
Filed under: uncultured bacterium
Lineage: Bacteria
Description: bacterial SSU rRNA
Rfam family: Bacterial small subunit ribosomal RNA
Source: RNAcentral